This 612-nucleotide long non-coding RNA is filed under the name Equus caballus (horse). Its description in RNAcentral is "lncRNA (ENSECAG00000046155.1)". Lineage: Eukaryota; Metazoa; Chordata; Mammalia; Perissodactyla; Equidae. The record is from RNAcentral.
CAGGUAACCACACAGGUAAACACAUCAUUACAAACUAUGAUUGAAGGACCACAGUUGAGAAGAGAAAGAGAGCUUAUGUGGAUCUGCAGGGGAAGAUCUCCCUGAGGAAGUGGCAUUUAAGCUGAUAUGAAGAAUGAUAUAUCAGAAGCAACAUGAGCUUUGAGUACAAAAUUGUCAUGAACAUUGGCUUGACGAAAGCAGUCCACAAGAAAUUCCUGAUACUGCCCACCAGAAGUUAUCCUGCUUUUAGUGAGCACCGUGCUUGACAAUACGAGAACCCUAACUACCUAAGUUCACCAGCCGUUCAUUGAAGAAGAUAAAGAUGAAGGCAAACACCAGCCUGGUACCACCCACCAUGAGGAAGGAAAGGCAAGUUAGGUUUCAGUAUGGCUCAGCCUGGCGACUGAAGCGACACAUGGACACUCGCCUCAAGUAGUCCACAAAGAGAUUCCUCACAUGGAAGAAGGCUGCUCAGCAGUAUUGAAGGCCACCAAAGACAACUAGAUUUGACUCAACAGUACUGCUUAUCUCAGACAUAUCUGCCUGGAUAACCUCCCUCCAGCCUCUCUCUGGAUGGGGAUCAAGAGACCACUGCUUUUGCCUUAAUUAGCU